RNAcentral lists this ribosomal RNA (253 nucleotides) under uncultured bacterium. RNAcentral's name for it is "partial 16S ribosomal RNA". It matches the Rfam family "Bacterial small subunit ribosomal RNA", at positions 524 to 776 of the family's 1533-position model. The record is from RNAcentral.
UACGUAGGGUGCGAGCGUUAAUCGGAAUUACUGGGCGUAAAGUGUGCGCAGGCGGCCGCGCAAGUCGAGUGUGAAAUCCCCGAGCUUAACUUGGGAAUUGCGCUCGAAACUACGUGGCUGGAGUGUGGCAGAGGAAGGUGGAAUUCCACGUGUAGCGGUGAAAUGCGUAGAUACGUGGAGGAACACCGAUGGCGAAGGCAGCCUUCUGGGCCAACACUGACGCUCAUGCACGAAAGCGUGGGGAGCAAACAGG